GACGAGGGGUCCUAGCGUUGCUCGGAAUCAUUGGGCGUAAAGCGGGUGUAGGCGGCUUCGUAAGUCAGUUGUGAAAGCCCCAAGUUCAACUUGGGAAGUGCUUCUGAUACUGUGAGGCUGGAGUAUUGGAGAGGGUAGUAGAAUUCCUGGUGUAGUGGUGAAAUACGUAGAUAUCAGGAGGAAUACCGGUGGCGAAGGCGGCUACCUGGCCAAAUACUGACGCUGAGACCCGAAAGCGUGGGGAUCAAACAGG
RNAcentral lists this ribosomal RNA (253 nucleotides) under uncultured bacterium. RNAcentral's name for it is "partial 16S ribosomal RNA". It matches the Rfam family "Bacterial small subunit ribosomal RNA", at positions 524 to 776 of the family's 1533-position model. The record is from RNAcentral.